UACGUAGGGCGCAAGCGUUGUCCGGAUUCAUUGGGCGUAAAGAGCUCGUAGGCGGCUUGGCAAGUCGGGUGUGAAAACUCCAGGCUCAACCUGGAGACGCCACCCGAUACUGCCAUGGCUUGAGUCCGGUAGGGGACCACGGAAUUCCUGGUGUAGCGGUGAAAUGCGCAGAUAUCAGGAGGAACACCGGUGGCGAAGGCGGUGGUCUGGGCCGGUACUGACGCUGAGGAGCGAAAGCGUGGGGAGCGAACAGG
This 254-nucleotide ribosomal RNA is filed under the name uncultured bacterium. Its description in RNAcentral is "partial 16S ribosomal RNA". It matches the Rfam family "Bacterial small subunit ribosomal RNA", at positions 524 to 776 of the family's 1533-position model. The record is from RNAcentral.